This 427-nucleotide ribosomal RNA is filed under the name Vibrio parahaemolyticus. RNAcentral's name for it is "partial 23S ribosomal RNA". It matches the Rfam family "Bacterial large subunit ribosomal RNA", at positions 607 to 1035 of the family's 2925-position model. The record is from RNAcentral. Lineage: Bacteria; Pseudomonadati; Pseudomonadota; Gammaproteobacteria; Vibrionales; Vibrionaceae.
UUUGUAUAAUGGGUCAGCGACUUAUAUUCAGUGGCAAGGUUAACCAUCUAGGGGAGCCGUAGGGAAACCGAGUCUUAACUGGGCGUUCAGUCUCUGGAUAUAGACCCGAAACCAGGUGAUCUAGCCAUGGGCAGGUUGAAGGUUGAGUAACAUCAACUGGAGGACCGAACCGACUAAUGUUGAAAAAUUAGCGGAUGACUUGUGGCUAGGGGUGAAAGGCCAAUCAAACCUGGAGAUAGCUGGUUCUCCCCGAAAGCUAUUUAGGUAGCGCCUCGGACGAAUACUACUGGGGGUAGAGCACUGUUAAGGCUAGGGGGUCAUCCCGACUUACCAACCCUUUGCAAACUCCGAAUACCAGUAAGUACUAUCCGGGAGACACACGGCGGGUGCUAACGUCCGUCGUGGAGAGGGAAACAACCCAGACCGC